ACUCCUACGGAGGCAGCAGUGGGGAAUAUUGGACAAUGGGCGCAAGCCUGAUCCAGCAAUGCCGCGUGUGUGAAGAAGGCCUUCGGGUUGUAAAGCACUUUUAUCAGGAACGAAAUACUACUGGCUAAUAACCGGUGGGGCUGACGGUACCUGAGGAAUAAGCACCGGCUAACUUCGUGCCAGCAGCCGCGGUAAUACGAAGGGUGCAAGCGUUAAUCGGAAUUACUGGGCGUAAAGCGUGCGCAGGCGGUUUGUUAAGUCUGUCGUGAAAUCCCCGGGCUCAACCUGGGAAUGGCGAUGGAUACUGGCAAGCUAGAGUGUGUCAGAGGAUGGUGGAAUUUCCGGUGUAGCGGUGAAAUGCGUAGAGAUCGGAAGGAACAUCAGUGGCGAAGGCGGCCAUCUGGGCCUAACCUGACACUGAGGAGCGAAAGCGUGGGGAGCGAACAGGAUUAGAAACCCGAGUAGUCC
Molecule: ribosomal RNA, 468 nt
Filed under: uncultured bacterium
Lineage: Bacteria
Description: bacterial SSU rRNA
Rfam family: Bacterial small subunit ribosomal RNA
Source: RNAcentral